GACGAACCGUGCAAACGUUGUUCGGAAUCACUGGGCUUAAAGGGCGCGUAGGCGGGCAAGCAAGUCCGGGGUGAAAUCUUUCGGCCCAACCGGAAAAGGGCCUUGGAUACUGCUUGUCUGGAGGGAGGUAGGGGCAGACGGAACUUCCGGUGGAGCGGUGAAAUGCGUAGAGAUCGGAAAGAACACCAACGGCGAAAGCACUCUGCUGGGCCGACACUGACACUGAGAGACGAAAGCUAGGGGAGCGAAUGGG
RNAcentral lists this ribosomal RNA (253 nucleotides) under uncultured bacterium. Its description in RNAcentral is "partial 16S ribosomal RNA". It matches the Rfam family "Bacterial small subunit ribosomal RNA", at positions 524 to 776 of the family's 1533-position model. The record is from RNAcentral.